RNAcentral lists this ribosomal RNA (427 nucleotides) under Pseudomonas aeruginosa. RNAcentral's name for it is "partial 23S ribosomal RNA". It matches the Rfam family "Bacterial large subunit ribosomal RNA", at positions 2046 to 2697 of the family's 2925-position model. The record is from RNAcentral. Lineage: Bacteria; Pseudomonadati; Pseudomonadota; Gammaproteobacteria; Pseudomonadales; Pseudomonadaceae.
AGUUUAAGUUAAAAUUCUUAGAUGUUUUUAUGGGACGAGAAGACCCUAUAGAGUUUGACAUUUGAUUGCGUAUUUCUCAUUGUUUGUUUUGAAUUUUUGCGUAUCUUUUGUUUUGUUGGGGUGAUGGGAGGAAAUUAUUUAACUCCUCUUUUAUGUGGUAUAUUGAUUUAUAUUUAUUUUGAUCCAUUUAUUUUGAUUGUAAGAUUAAAUUACCUUAGGGAUAACAGCGUUAUCUCCCCUGAGAGUUCUUAUUGGCGGGGGGGUUUGCGACCUCGAUGUUGGAUUAAGGUUAAUUUUUGGUGUAGGAGCUGAAUUGAUUGGGUCUGUUCGACCUUUAAAAUCUUACAUGAUCUGAGUUCAAACCGGCGUGAGCCAGGUUGGUUUCUAUCUAUAAUGAAUUUUAUGCCUUAGUACGAGAGGACCGGGC